AGCGAACGCUGGCGGCAGGCUUAACACAUGCAAGUCGAGCGGGCACUUCGGUGUCAGCGGCAGACGGGUGAGUAACACGUGGGAACGUACCCUUCGGUUCGGAAUAACGCUGGGAAACUAGCGCUAAUACCGGAUACGCCCUUUUGGGAAAGGUUUACUGCCGAAGGAUCGGCCCGCGUCUGAUUAGCUAGUUGGUGGGGUAAUGGCCUACCAAGGCGACGAUCAGUAGCUGGCCUGAGAGGAUGAUCAGCCACACUGGGACUGAGACACGGCCCAGACUCCUACGGGAGGCAGCAGUGGGGAAUAUUGGAUAAUGGGCGCAAGCCUGAUCCAGCCAUGCCGCGUGAGUGAUGAAGGCCUUAGGGUUGUAAAGCUCUUUUGUCCGGGACGAUAAUGACGGUACCGGAAGAAUAAGCCCCGGCUAACUUCGUG
Molecule: ribosomal RNA, 432 nt
Filed under: uncultured bacterium
Lineage: Bacteria
Description: partial 16S ribosomal RNA
Rfam family: Bacterial small subunit ribosomal RNA
Source: RNAcentral